Non-coding RNA from Pteropus alecto (black flying fox), 73 nucleotides. Lineage: Eukaryota; Metazoa; Chordata; Mammalia; Chiroptera; Pteropodidae. The record is from Rfam.
GGUUCCAUAGUGUAGUGGUUAGCACGUCUGCUUUACACGCAGAUGGUCCUGGGUUCGCGCCCUAGUGGAGCCA